AUUAACCGCAAAAAUCAAUUAAAAAAACAGGCUUGCUUGCUGUAUGGAGAAAGAGGAAGAGAACGGAGUGGUAAAAAUACAAACGAAAGGCCUGAGAAAUAUAUAGUCACAAAGAGAGACAGUUUGUAUGGCGCCAAGAGAGAAAUAGAGAGAGGCGAUGAGGCCUGAGAGAGACACGGAGAAAGAAACAGAGAAAGGGGAAGAAUCAGACCACCGGAACCACAAGCACAUAGAAAGAAAAAUCUAUGGCCCAUCAACACCGAAUGAUUGAGAGGGAUACAGAGAUAGUGUUCGUGAAUGUCGCUGCCACCAGCGUCAGUCCGGCUUCCUACCACCGUCAGUAGCCUCGCCAUAGAAGAAAAAUCUAUGGACCAUCAACACCGUAAGGCCAUAUACGCACCACCAUCAGAUUAUCGGAACUGCCGCCAGUACCUUCUUUCCCCCUUUUUAGAUCUAGGUUUAUUGUUCGGUUAAGGUUUAUCGGAACCGCAGGCACAGAGAGACAGGCUACUAUUGGAUAAGAGCUACUAAAUUAAAUUGAAAGGACACAAAAGACAAAUUUGUAAGAAAAACAAGGGAGGACAGCAGUUCUCUAUUUACAACUGCCAUAUCUGCUAAAGAGGAAAAUCAGAUGAUGAUAGCAUACCAAUUCAAAUGCUUCACAAACGAAGCACGACUACUAAACAAAAUGCAUUGAAGAAAGAAGAAAAUUUGAAGAGAAAAAAAAUAACCAAUAGAUGUACUACAUUACCCAGAUGAAAUGUAAUGUAUUUUAUUAUAUUCUUAUGUUAAGUUGAUAGAAUUUUAAAUAUGUAAAAUGUUCCCGUGUAUUGCGAGUGUUAAAUGAUUUUUAUUGAAUAUUUUUUGGAAUUUUUUUUUACUGUGUAUUUAGGAUUUAAAUUUGUCAAUGCCUUACUCUACAAAGUUCUAUUUAAUUUUUGGUUUUUGUUUUUC
Long non-coding RNA from Quercus robur (English oak), 954 nucleotides. RefSeq lists it as uncharacterized. NCBI's taxonomy places the organism in Eukaryota, Viridiplantae, Streptophyta, Magnoliopsida, Fagales, Fagaceae. The record is from RefSeq and is a predicted model, not a curated record. The transcript is spliced from 4 exons.